Molecule: non-coding RNA, 474 nt
Organism: Castor canadensis (American beaver)
Lineage: Eukaryota; Metazoa; Chordata; Mammalia; Rodentia; Castoridae
Source: RefSeq, a predicted model, not a curated record
GAUGGCCACCUGGCUUUAUUUUUAUAAUGAAGAAAGUUUCUCCCCCCAAAAAAUUCUCCAAAGCAAGGAUGCCACCAUCACCUCACUCUCUUGGUCCAUCACCUGUUAUGUCAACAUGAGAUCCAGGUCACUUUCACCUUUGAUUGGAUCUGACACUCUGCCUUUUCAUCCUGGAGAGUGGUAUGAGCAAGUUGAGUUACAGGUGAAAACAGUGUGCUUUCGGACUGCCAAGACCACAAAGGAGCUGACUCACAUGUAGGAGUCCGUUAUAUUACAGAGGCACUCAUUAAGAAACUCACUAAACAGGACAAUUUGGCCUUGGUAAAAUCUCUGAACCUUUCACUUUCUAGAGAUGGUGGCAAGAAAUUUAGGUACAUCGAGAAUUUGGAAAAAUGUAUUAAACUUGAAGUACUGAAUCUCAGCUAUAAUCUAAUAGGAAGAUUGAGAAAGAUGGACAAGCUGUUAAAAUUACGU